UCCGUGCCAUUAAUUUGCACAUCAAUAUAUUUUUUCUAACUGUUUUUUUUCAUGAGUACUUUCACAUAGAACGUGAAUACUACGCGGCAAAAAAGCGACACACUUUUUUUCGGGAACGUGGUUGAUUUUCUGAGCUUUUGCAUGUUGAAUUAAGGCAUCGACCAAUCACGUUGAGCAGAAUGGGUUGAGUUGCGCCUAUAUUUAUGAAACAACAACACGAAGGCGCCAUGGUCCAAAGCAGGACGGCUAACUUAUUACUCCUUUCAACCUUGACAAAGGUAACGCAGACCAGAUCCACUCCUUCCGUUCUUACCUUUCACAAUAAAAGCCCUGGACAUAUAACAUUCGCAGGCGAGUUUUUCGCAUUUUUGUGUCGUUUAUUUGUCAUGCCAACGGUGUGUAAAGGCCUUUAGACUGAGACCUAGUCUCACCCGGAGGUU
Long non-coding RNA from Sebastes umbrosus (honeycomb rockfish), 440 nucleotides. RefSeq lists it as uncharacterized. NCBI's taxonomy places the organism in Eukaryota, Metazoa, Chordata, Actinopteri, Perciformes, Sebastidae. The record is from RefSeq and is a predicted model, not a curated record. The transcript is spliced from 4 exons.